Molecule: ribosomal RNA, 277 nt
Filed under: uncultured bacterium
Lineage: Bacteria
Description: partial 16S ribosomal RNA
Rfam family: Bacterial small subunit ribosomal RNA
Source: RNAcentral
GACGAACGCUGGCGGCGUGCCUAAUACAUGCAAGUCGAGCGGAGUUGAAUAAGUGCUUGCACUAAUUCAACUUAGCGGCGAACGGGUGAGUAACACGUAAAGAACCUGCCUCAUAGACUGGGACAACUACUGGAAACGGUAGCUAAUACCGGAUAACAUAUUUUUCUGCAUGGAAGAAUAUUGAAAGUCGGUCAUGCUGACACUAUGAGAUGGCUUUGCGGUGCAUUAGCUAGUUGGUAGGGUAAAGGCCUACCAAGGCGACGAUGCAUAGCCGACC